AAGUGGCGAAAGGGGCAGUAAUGCGUGGGUAACCUACCUUGGGGCCUGGCAUAGCCGUCCUAACGGACGGGUAAUUCCAGAUGAUGUGCGCAAGCACCAAAGGUUUACCACCCUUUGAGGGGCCCACGUGGUAUUAGCUAGUUGGUGAGGUAACGGCUCACCAAGGCAAAGAUGCCUAGCGGGUGUGAGAGCACGACCCGCGCCACUGGCACUGUGACACUGGCCAGACUCCUACGGGAGGCUGCAGUCGAGGAUCUUCGGCAAUGGGCGCAAGCCUGACCGAGCGACGCCGCGUGCGCGAUGAAGGCCUUCGGGUUGUAAAGCGCUGUCGAGGGGGAGAAAGCCGCAAGGUUGAUCUAUCCCAGGAGGAAGCACGGGCUAAGUUCGUGCCAGCAGCCGCGGUAAGACGAACCGUGCAAACGUUUUUCGGAUUCACUGGGCUUAAAGGGCGCGUAGGCGGGCGAUCAAGUCAGGGGUGAAAUACUUCAGCUUAACUGGAGAACAGCCCUUGAUACUGGUUGUCUCGAGGGAGGUAGGGGCAUGUGGAACUUCCGGUGGAGCGGUGAAAUGCGUAGAUAUCGGAAGGAACGCCGGUGGCGAAAGCGACGUGCUGGACCUCUUC
This 622-nucleotide ribosomal RNA is filed under the name uncultured bacterium. RNAcentral's name for it is "bacterial SSU rRNA". It matches the Rfam family "Bacterial small subunit ribosomal RNA", at positions 93 to 740 of the family's 1533-position model. The record is from RNAcentral.